This 449-nucleotide ribosomal RNA is filed under the name uncultured bacterium. RNAcentral describes it as "partial 16S ribosomal RNA". It matches the Rfam family "Bacterial small subunit ribosomal RNA", at positions 29 to 523 of the family's 1533-position model. The record is from RNAcentral.
AGCGAACGCUGGCGGCAGGCUUAACACAUGCAAGUCGAGCGGGCCCUUCGGGGUCAGCGGCGGACGGGUGAGUAACGCGUGGGAACGUGCCUUCUGGUUCGGAAUAACCCUGGGAAACUAGGGCUAAUACCGGAUACGCCCUUAUGGGGAAAGGUUUACUGCCGGAAGAUCGGCCCGCGUCUGAUUAGCUAGUUGGUGGGGUAACGGCCUACCAAGGCGACGAUCAGUAGCUGGUCUGAGAGGAUGAUCAGCCACACUGGGACUGAGACACGGCCCAGACUCCUACGGGAGGCAGCAGUGGGGAAUAUUGGACAAUGGGCGCAAGCCUGAUCCAGCCAUGCCGCGUGAGUGAUGAAGGCCUUAGGGUUGUAAAGCUCUUUUAUCCGGGACGAUAAUGACGGUACCGGAGGAAUAAGCCCCGGCUAACUUCGUGCCAGCCGCCGCCGUAA